AUGGAGAGAUAGUUGGUCUUUUUGGAGUAUUUGAUGGUAUAUUCUAUCUUACUCUUGUGUACCUUUCUCUGUCACACACACUCUUGCUAACAUGCAUGAAAUGCAUAACUUACUAACGGUUAUGCAUGGUUCACAUGAACCAUAUAGGUAAAUACUUUCUAACAUCUGUGGUGAUUAUGUUUCUGUUUUAAAGAGUGUGUAUGAUUGAUCACUGUUCUCCUAAGCUGUAGCCUUCCUUCAGUUCAGAAUGUAUCUGAAAAGAUAUUAUGCAGAUUCUGCUAUUUGUUAUCUGCUCCAAUGUGAUAGCAGUACUUUAAGCCAUUUCUCAAGGGCUGUUAUUGGCUCAGGAUGGAAUAUUAUCGUGGUCAUGGAGGUGUACGGGCUGCUGAAUAUGUGAAGCACCACCUUUUCAGUAAUUUGAUCAAGCAUCCAAAGUUCAUAUCUGACACCAAUCUGCUAUAGGUUAU
Hibiscus syriacus is the source of this 467-nucleotide long non-coding RNA. RefSeq lists it as uncharacterized. The transcript has 3 exons. NCBI's taxonomy places the organism in Eukaryota, Viridiplantae, Streptophyta, Magnoliopsida, Malvales, Malvaceae. The record is from RefSeq and is a predicted model, not a curated record.